UUAACUGAAAUUUGUAUGGAGCUGAAAAGUUUGCCUACGUUUACCACUAGGGGCGCUAUUACAACACCAUACAAAUUUGAGUUA
Non-coding RNA from Bombyx mori (domestic silkworm), 84 nucleotides. NCBI's taxonomy places the organism in Eukaryota, Metazoa, Arthropoda, Insecta, Lepidoptera, Bombycidae. The record is from Rfam.